AGAAAGUUAGUCUAACCAAGACGGUUGGUUUCGACCCAACAAAUUAUAGGUAAUGCCUAUAACCUUCUU
RNAcentral lists this transfer RNA (69 nucleotides) under Rhizothera longirostris. RNAcentral's name for it is "tRNA-Arg". Lineage: Eukaryota; Metazoa; Chordata; Aves; Galliformes; Phasianidae. The record is from RNAcentral.